CUACGGAGGGUGCAAGCGUUAAUCGGAAUUACUGGGCGUAAAGCGUACGUAGGCGGUUGGUUAAGUUAGAUGUGAAAGCCCCGGGCUUAACCUGGGAACUGCAUUUAAAACUGGCGAACUAGAGUUGAGUAGAGGGGAGUGGAAUUUCAGGUGUAGCGGUGAAAUGCGUAGAGAUCAGAAGGAACACCAGUGGCGAAGGCGACUCCCUGGACUCGAACUGACGCUGAGGUACGAAAGCGUGGGUAGCAAACGGGAUUAGAAACCCGAGUAGUCC
This 274-nucleotide ribosomal RNA is filed under the name uncultured bacterium. RNAcentral describes it as "partial 16S ribosomal RNA". It matches the Rfam family "Bacterial small subunit ribosomal RNA", at positions 523 to 796 of the family's 1533-position model. The record is from RNAcentral.